UAACUACUCCCACCGUCCCAAAAUAAGUGUCUUUGAUUUAGUAAAAUUUUAGAAAAUUUUACUAAAUCAAAGACACUUAUUUUGGGACGGAGGGAGUACAUC
Triticum aestivum (bread wheat) is the source of this 102-nucleotide non-coding RNA. NCBI's taxonomy places the organism in Eukaryota, Viridiplantae, Streptophyta, Magnoliopsida, Poales, Poaceae. The record is from Rfam.